Molecule: ribosomal RNA, 378 nt
Filed under: uncultured eukaryote
Lineage: Eukaryota
Description: partial 18S ribosomal RNA
Rfam family: Eukaryotic small subunit ribosomal RNA
Source: RNAcentral
CAAUAGCGUAUAUUAAAGUUGUUGCAGUUAAAAAGCUCGUAGUUGGAUUUCGGGACGGGCCAGUUGGUCCGCCGCAAGGUGUGUUACUGACUGGUCUGUUCUUCUUCGCAAAGACUGCGUGUGCUCUUCGUUGAGUGUGCGUAGGAUUUACGACGUUUACUUUGAAAAAAUUAGAGUGUUCAAAGCAGGCUAUCGCUUGAAUACAUGAGCAUGGAAUAAUGGAAUAGGACUUUGGCCCUAUUUUGUUGGUUUCUAGGACCGAAGUAAUGAUUAAGAGGGACAAUUGGGGGCAUCCGUAUUUCGUUGUCAGAGGUGAAAUUCUUGGAUUUACGAAAGACGAACAACUGCGAAAGCACUUGCCAAGAGUGUUUUCAUUAA